AUGCACAAAUAUCAAUAAAUCAUGACACAUCCAUAUUUCAUUUUCAUUACUAAAGCUCAAACACAAGACACUUAUCAAACCUUACCAAUUUCGGCUCAAUAGCCACAUACAAAGAGCAUGAUUUUGAUUGGCUUUAUAACAUGAUCUCUAUACACAUUCGGCUACCCGUCAUAGGUAUAAACCAAUCACCUCAAUAUAUAAUUCAAGUAGAAUCAUAAUAUCACCAUUUAUUUGUUAUGCUUAUAUGUCAUGACUUAAUCAAAUCAUAAACUAAGUUUCAUUACUCGAAGACUUACCUCGGAUGUUGUCGAACGAUUUCGACGGCUAUUCGAUCACUUUUUCCUUUCCCUUAUCCAACUUUGAUUCUCUAGGCUCUUGAGCUCUUCCUAAACAUCAACCAACCGAACAUGAAGCAAGAGAAUCCUCUUCUUCUUCCUUCCUCAAGUCACGGCAAUGGGGGAGUAUGGAUGGGACAACUUUGUUUUCAUCACCCCUCCCUUUUCAUUACUUUAUUACUAACCUUUUAUUUUAUUAUUUCUAACAUAAAACAUUAACACAAAAUGUUUAUAAUAUGCUUUAACCCAUAGCAUGGCCGGCCACCAUCUUGAUUUUUUGGUUAAUUUGACAUGCAAACCCAUCAUUUUUAUAACAUGCAUCAAUAGGCCACUUUAACAUUUGCCUAGCACAUUUCUAAAUUUUCUUACACAAGUCCUAUUUAAUAAAAUUCACUUACAAUUAACAAAAUUCAAACAUGAAAUUUUCACACAUGCAUAUAUACAUAUAAUAAGCAUCAAAUAUGAUGGUUAAUUAUUUUUAUGACUCGGUUUUGUGGUCCCGAAACCACUUUCCGACUAGGGUCACAUUAGGGCUGUCACAACUCUCCCCCACUUAAGAAAUUUUCAUCCCCGAAAAUCUUACCGGUAAAUAGGUUUGGGUAUCGUUCUUUCAUAGAGUUCUCAGUUUCCCAAGUAGCUUCUUCGAUCCCGUGUUUGAGCCAUAACACCUUUACUAACGGAACCCUCUUGUUUCGCAACUCUUUCACUUCACGAGCUAGGAUGCGAAUCGGUUCUUCUUCAUAACUCAUAUCGGCUUGAAUUUCAACCUCUGAGGGAUUUAUUAUGUGCGAAGGAUCAGAUCUGUAACGUCGAAGCAUUGAGACAUGAAAAACGUUGUGAAUCUUCUCGAGGUCAGGGGGUAAAAUCAAUCUAUAUGCCACUGGGACAACUCGUUCGGAUAUUUCAUACGGCCCUAUGAACCUCGGACUCAGUUUGCCCUUACGGCCAAAUCUGAGUAUCUUUUUCCAAGGUGAAACUUUAAGAAACACUUUGUCUCCCACCUGAUACUCAAUAUCUCUUCGUUUUAAAUCCGCGUACGACUUCUGACGAUCUGAUGCUGCCUUCAGACUUUCACGAAUUAUUUUUACUUUCUGCUCAGCAUCUUUAAUCAAAUCAACUCCGAAAAUUUUACUUUCACCGAGCUCGGUCCAAAACAAUGGUGUACGGCAUUUACGACCGUACAAAGCCUCGUAAGGCGCCAUCUUAAUACUUGAUUGAAAACUAUUGUUGUAAGCGAAUUCAAUCAAAGGUAAAUACCGCUCCCAUGAACCACUAAACUCAAGGAUGCAACAUCUCAACAUAUCCUCGAGUAUCUGAAUUAUCCGCUCGGAUUGACCAUCGGUCUGGGGAUGAAAAGCGGUGCUAAAAUGCAACUUGGUACCCAAUGCUUCUUGCAAUUUCUUCCAAAAUUGCGAUGUGAAUCUCGGAUCUCUAUCUGACACAAUAAAAAUAGGUACCCCGUGUAAUUUUACAAUCUGAGAAACAUACAAUUUAGCUAGUUUAUCCAAUGAGUAAUCCGUACGUACGGGAAUAAAAUGAGCCGACUUAGUCAGUCUAUCAACAACAACCCAAAUCGCAUCUUUCUUAGUUGCCGACAAUGGCAACCCAGAUACAAAAUCCAUGGUGACUCGAUCCCAUUUCCAUUCAGGUAUCAUGAUCGGCUGAAGUAAACCUGUAGGCACUUGAUGUUCUGCUUUCACUUGUUGACAUAUUAAACACUUCGAAACAAAAUAGGAAAUGUCUCGUUUCAUACCAUGCCACCAAAACUGACAUCUCAGAUCGUUGUACAUUUUCGUACUCCCGGGGUGAAUUGAUAUUCAGUUACAAUGAGCUUCGUUCAGAAUCAUCGAAAUAAGUUCUGAAUUUCUUGGAACACACCAACGACUUCUGAACCUCAAACAAUCGUCAUCAUCAAUUUGAAACUCUGAUUCCCUAUCCGAAACACAUUCAGCCCGUUUUGCAACCAAUUCAUCAUCGACUUUCUGAGCUUCACGAAUUUGAUGAAUCAAUAAUGGUUUGGCCUUUAAGUCUGCUACUAACACAUUUUCGGAUAGAACAGACAAGUGUACAUUCAUCUCUCGUAAAGCAAACAGUGAUUUACGACUUAAGGCAUCCGCAACCACAUUAGCCUUUCCCGGGUGAUAAUCAAUGACAAGUUCAUAAUCUUUCAACAACUCAAGCCAAUGCCUUUGUCGCAGAUUCAAGUCUCUUUGAGUCAUCAAAUAUUUGAGACUUUUGUGAUCCGAAUAUACAUGGCACUUCUCACCAAAUAAGUAAUUUCGCCAUAUUUUCAAAGCGAAUACGAUGGCAGCUAAUUCGAGAUCAUGGGUUGGAUAAUUUUUCUCAUGUGACUUCAAUUGUCUCGAUGCAUAAGCUACAACUCGACCUUCUUGCAUCAAUACACAACCCAGCCCAAGUAAGGAUGCAUCACUGUAGAUGACAAACUCCUUGCCUGAUUCGGGCUGCACUAGUACUGGAGCUUCAGUCAAAUAAGUUUUCAAUUGAUCGAAACUUUUCUGACAUUUUUCUAUCCAUUCAAACUUAACAUCUUUCUGAAGUAGUUUCGUUAUUGGUGUGGCUAUCAUUGAGAAACCCUUUACAAAGCGUUUGUAGUAACCGGCAAGUCCCAAAAAGCUCCGAACCUCAGUAAUGUUUCUCGGAGGCUUCCAGUUAAGUAUGGCUGAAAUUUUGCUCGGAUCAACUCGAAUACCCGAUGCAGAUACCACAUGUCCCAAAAAGCUAACUUCUCUAGACCAGAACUCACAUUUACCGAACUUAGCAUAUAACUACUUAUCCCGUAAAAUCUGCAACACUAAUCUCAGGAGCUUAGCAUGUUCGGUUUCAUUUUCCGAAUAGACCAAAAUAUCAUCGAUAAACACAACUACAAACCGAUCCAAAUACGGUCUGAAGAUUCGAUUCAUCAAAUCCAUAAAUACCGCCGGGGCAUUAGUGAGCCCAAACGGCAUCACUAAAAACUCGUAGUGACCGUAUCUCGUUCUGAAAGCAGUUUUGGGUAUAUCCGAACCUCGAAUUCACAAUUGAUAAUAACCCGAUCUCAAAUCUAUCUUUGAAAACACUGAGGCUCCCUUUAGUUGAUCAAACAAAUCAUCAAUACGCGGUAACGGAUAUUUAUUCUUUAUUGUCACUUUAUUUAGCUGACGAUAGUCGAUGCACAACCUCAUGGUUCCGUCCUUCUUUUUCACAAACAAUACUGGUGCACCCCAAGGCGAGAAACUCGGUCGAGCAAAACCUCUAUCCAUCAACUCUUGCAACUGAGUUUUUAAUUCUUUCAAUUUCGUUGGUGCCAUACGAUACGGAGCUAUCGAAAUCGGUGUAGUCCCAGGUACAAGUUCGAUGCCAAACUCUAUUUCCCGAACAGGUGGUAACCCCGGUAAUUCUUCGGGAAAAACAUCCGGAUAUUCACAAACCACUGGUACCGAUUGAAGUUUCUUUCCUGAUUUUUCAUUAUCAAGCACGUAUGCAAGACACGCCUCACACCCCUUUCUCACAUAUUUUUGAGCUAACAUCGAGGAUAUUAUUGUUGGCAAUCCAUUCAAGACAGUAGACUCAACUCGGAUUAUCUCAUUAUUUGCACACCUCAAAUCAAUAGUCUUGCUUUUGCAAUUCACAACCGCAUCAUGCACGGUCAACCAAUCCAAACCGAGAAUAACAUCAAAUUCAUCAAACGGUAAAAGCAUCAAGUCCGCUGGAAAACAGGAACCUCGAAUUACUAGGGGACAUUUCUUACACACCUUAUCAACAAGCACACAAUGACCCAAGGGAUUCGACACUCUAAUAACGAACUCAGUAGACUCAACAGGUAAAGUCUUACUGGAUGCUAAAGUCUCACAUAUAUAAGAAUGAGUAGAACCAGGGUCAAUCAAUGCAAUCACAUUAGUAUCAAAGAGAGUGAAUGUACCGGUAAUAACAUCAGGCGAAGAAGCAUCCUCGCGUGCACGUAUAGCAUAAGCUCUGGCAGGAGCACGAGCCUCAGAUCUGGUGGUAACAUCUCUAGAUCCUCUCUGACCGCCACUAGCAUUCCCCGCAUUUUUAAAUGGUCUACCUCGAGCAGUAGUAGCACCCGGUUUCCCACUCUGAUUUACAUUAUGUUCAGACAAUCUCGUGCAAUCUUUAAUAAAGUGGUCAACUGAUCCGCACUUGUAACAGGGGCGGUCAUGGAAUCUACAACUCCCCGAAUGCCAUUUACCACAAUACUGGCACUCUGUUCUGCCUCGACGAUCAUUUCCAACACUGGCGACCGAAGUAACUCGUGUCCUCACAGGGGGUCGAUCACGGUCUCGUCUAGAAAAGCCCGACGUGUCUCUAGGUCGGCCUAAAUCAUCUCUAAAUUUCUUCGAUGACUGUUGAAAGGGCUUUUCCGAAGAUCUCUUACGAAACUCCUUUGCUCCCAUAUCAGCUUUUCUUUUCUUCUUACUGAGCUCUUCGGCUUUGCAAGCUCGCUCGACAAGUACCACAAAUUCUCUGAUUUCUAAAAUGCCAAAAUACAGCUUUAUAUCAUCGUUCAGUCCAUCUUCGAAACGUUUACAGAUCACAGCUUCUGAAGAAAUGCAUUCUCGAGCGUACCGGCUAAGCCUUACAAACUUUCGUUCAUAAUUAGUAACCGACAUGGAACCUUGUUUAAGUUUAAGAAAUUCUUUCCAUUUUUGAUCAAUGAAUCUCUGGCUGAUAUAAUUUUUUCGAAACUCGGUUUGGAAAAACUCCCAAGUUACUUGCUCUCUGGGCACAACAGAAAUCAACGUAUUCCACCAAUAGUAGGCAGAAUCACGUAGCAAGGAGAUCGUACACUUUAGGCAUUCAUCGGGUGUGCAAGAUAGUUCAUCAAGUACCCGAAUAGUGUUGUCCAACCAAAAUUCAGCUUGCUCGGCAUCGUCGCUGUCUGUAGCUUUAAAUUCAGUAGCCCCGUGUUUUCGGAUUCUAUCAACUGGGGGCUUAUUUAACCUUAUCUGGUCAGUUACCGGAGGUAUCGCAGGUGCAGGGGUUGUAUUAGUCAGAAAUGGGGGUUGUGGAAUAGCCGUAUUAGUUCGAAUGUAUUGGUUGAACCAAUCAUUCAUUACGCUAUAAAAAGCCUGUCUAGCUUCGUCAUUCUGAUUACUAGCAAUAGGUUGAGAGUCCACCGGCACUGUCCCUUGUGCAGGAGCAGGCGCUACACUCUCAAGAUCAUCAUCUACCGGUCGGUUGGGAUCGGGAUCCAAUACUACAAACAAACACAUUUUUAACUGUCAGAAAUCACCACACUAUCAAAUAGACACACAAUGGCAUGUAUAGCUAGACCCGAACGUAUUACAGUAGUCCUAGAAUCGACUAAACCGUAGCUCUGAUACCAAUAAAAUUGUAACGCCCCGUACUCGAGACCGUUGCCGGAGUCAAACACGAGGUGUUAACAAACUUAAUUCAUUCAUUUACACAGUUCAUUUUAAAAUUUCCAGAUAAGCUGGCUAACUGCGUCACUGUCACCUUAAAAAUCAUAUCUCGAGUUCCAAAACUCGAAAACCGAUUCCGUAAAUUUUUCCUGAAACUAGACUCAUAUUUCCAUCUACAAAGUUUUUUCUAGAAUUUUUGGUCAAGCCAAUUAGUACAGUUUAUUAGUUAAAGUCUCCCCUAUUUCAGGGUUUGACUACUCUGACUUUCAUGCAUUACGACUUAGAUAUCUCCCUCUACAGAGCUUCAAUAAUUAUGACGUUUCUUUCUAAUGAAACUAGACUCAAAACGGAAUCUAUAAAUAUAAAGAAUGACUUCUAAUUGUCUCUGGUUAAUUUAUGGUAAAUUUUCAAAGUCAGAACAGGGGAUCCAGUAAUCGCUCUGACCCUGUUUCACGAAAACUUAAACAUCUCAUAAAAUACGGCUCAUAUGGUCGUUUUGAUUCUUCCAUAUGAAAAUAGACUCAUCAAGGUUCGAUUACAUAAUUUAUUCAUUAUUUAAUUACAUUCCUACUAUUUUUAGUGAAUUUUCAAACUCACAUCACUGCUGCUGUCAGCAUCUAUUUUAAGGUAAAUUUCACCUAUUUCAUAGUUUCCAUGACUCAACUAGCUAUUGGACAUACGUAGCACCAAAUAUGAUCGUGAUUAACCAUUCCAAUGGCUAAUCAUUGCCAAGCAUUUCCACACCUCUCAAUAACCAUAUAUAUACAAAAUGAUUUUAAUACUAUGCUCAAAAUAUUUAAGCCAUUUUCGCAUGGCUAUCCGAAUAUAUACACAUUACCAAAGGUACUUGAUUAACAACAAAGGUUAGUCCUAUACAUGCCAUUAUCAACGUUUAACUAAAAGAGUACCAAAAGGGCUUAGAUAGUGUGGACGACUUCGACUUCGACAAUCCCGAGUCCGAUAGCUGACGAACAAAAAUCUAUAAAACAGAGAAUUAAAGAAACGGAAUAAGCAUUUAAUGCUUAGUAAGUUUUGAGUAACGAAGUUAUUUACGACUAAAGUAUAGUGUUCAUAUGACUAAAUGAAUAAUUUCAUAUAUGCACAUUCUCAAAAUCAUAAUUUCUUCACGCUUCAACCAAUAUAUUCAUACACAGGGUAUCAAACCUAACUAGAGGCCGGAAGCUCGUUAAUCAAUUGAGCGAGUACUAUUUGAAAGGAAUCAACCUUUCCGAUGCAUAUACGAAACAUACCUUAUCGUUUGUAUUUUAUGAGCGUAUUAAUCGAAAUUAUUACAGGAAGAUUGCUCGCUUCCAAGCCCAAGUAUCUUCGGGAUUUAGUCGGAUAUAGCAACUCGCACAAAUGCCUUCGGGUCUUAGCCCGGAUAUAGUCACUAGCAUGAAUACCUUCGGGACUUAGCCUGGAUAUAGUCACUAGCACAAAUGCCUUCGGGACUUAGCCCGGAUAUAGUCACUAGCACAAAUGCCUUCAGGACUUAGCCCGAAUAUCAUUCGAAUAAUCAUGCACAAAUAUCAAUAAAUCAUGACACAUCCAUAUUUCAUUUUCAUUACUAAAGCUCAAACACAAGACACUUAUCAAACCUUACCAAUUUCGGCUCAAUAGCAACAUACAAAGAGCAUGAUUUUGAUUGGAUUUAUAACAUGAUCUCUAUACACAUUCGGCUACCCGUCAUAGGUAUAAACUAAUCACCUCAAUAUAUAAUUCAAGUAGAAUCAUAAUAUCACCGUUUAUUUGUUAUGCUUAUAUGUCAUGACUUAAUCAAAUCAUAAACUAAGUUUCAUUACUCGAAGACUUACCUCGGAUGUUGUCGAACGAUU
RNAcentral lists this long non-coding RNA (7551 nucleotides) under Gossypium barbadense (sea-island cotton). RNAcentral's name for it is "long non-coding RNA (GBAR_LNC003329)". The record is from RNAcentral. Lineage: Eukaryota; Viridiplantae; Streptophyta; Magnoliopsida; Malvales; Malvaceae.